Molecule: transfer RNA, 66 nt
Filed under: Quasinarosa fulgens
Lineage: Eukaryota; Metazoa; Arthropoda; Insecta; Lepidoptera; Limacodidae
Description: tRNA-Thr
Rfam family: tRNA
About the family: Transfer RNA (tRNA) molecules are approximately 80 nucleotides in length. Their secondary structure includes four short double-helical elements and three loops (D, anti-codon, and T loops).
Source: RNAcentral
GUUUUUAUAGUUUAAAAUAAAACAUUGGUCUUGUAAACCAAAAUUAAAAAUUUUUUUUUAAAAACU